RNAcentral lists this ribosomal RNA (483 nucleotides) under uncultured bacterium. RNAcentral's name for it is "partial 16S ribosomal RNA". It matches the Rfam family "Bacterial small subunit ribosomal RNA", at positions 28 to 507 of the family's 1533-position model. The record is from RNAcentral.
GACGAACGCUGGCGGCGUGCUUAACACAUGCAAGUCGAACGCUGAAGCUCAGCUUUUGUUGGGUGGAUGAAUGGCGAACGGGUGAGUAACACGUGAGUAACCUGCCCCCUUCUUUGGGAUAACGCCCGGAAACGGGUGCUAAUACUGGAUAUUCACUGGUCUUCGCAUGGGGGUUGGUGGAAAGGGUUUUUCUGGUGGGGGAUGGGCUCGCGGCCUAUCAGCUUGUUGGUGGGGUGAUGGCCUACCAAGGCUUUGACGGGUAGCCGGCCUGAGAGGGUGACCGGUCACAUUGGGACUGGGAUACGGCCCAGAGUCAUACGGGAGGCAGCAGUGGGGAAUAUUGCACAAUGGGCGCAAGCCUGAUGCAGCGACGCCGCGUGAGGGAUGGAGGCCUUCGGGUUGUGAACCUCUUUCGCUCAUGGUCAAGCCGCAACAAUGGUUGUGGUGAGGGUAGUGGGUAAAGAAGCGCCGGCUAACUACGUG